UACGUAGGGUGCAAGCGUUGUCCGGAAUUAUUGGGCGUAAAGAGCUCGUAGGCGGUUUGUCGCGUCUGCUGUGAAAACCCGAGGCUCAACCUCGGGCCUGCAGUGGGUACGGGCAGACUAGAGUGCGGUAGGGGAGAUUGGAAUUCCUGGUGUAGCGGUGGAAUGCGCAGAUAUCAGGAGGAACACCGAUGGCGAAGGCAGAUCUCUGGGCAUUAACUGACGCUGAGGAGCGAAAAGCAUGGGGGAGCGAACAGG
RNAcentral lists this ribosomal RNA (255 nucleotides) under uncultured bacterium. Its description in RNAcentral is "partial 16S ribosomal RNA". It matches the Rfam family "Bacterial small subunit ribosomal RNA", at positions 524 to 776 of the family's 1533-position model. The record is from RNAcentral.